GCGGUUGGUUCUUCCCGCGCGAGGGGCCGCGCGGCCGCAGCCGGACUUCCCGCGCCCUCAGGUGCUACCUGACCUGCUGAAUGUGUCCAGCAUUUCUGUUUUGAAUUAAAACUUGAUGCAAGUUAGCAUUCAGACACCAGAGAGUUGGACGUGUGCGAGGUUUUGGAGGCUGGAAAAUGGAAGACUUCCCAAAGUGCGGCACCUCAGACUAAACUCCAUCUGCCACCUCUCUGCCCAUAUCUGCAACUGAUCUACAUCUGCUGUAUCCUUCAAAAACCUUCUUCAUUGUCCACAACUCCACCAGUCUCUGUGUCAUCCACAGACCACCAUGUGCUAUCAGGAGAGGUUGGACACCAAUCAGACCACCUCCAUUUUCACCCAAGUCAUCACAAACUGCAUUCGCCCGAAGAUACAACUGCGUGAGACACAGCAUGAAGUUUCCUUGAGAGUGAACGAGGGAGGAACAGCACAUUUACAAGUCACUGACCCGAAGCUCCACUCCCCGCUCGGUUUAUCACCGGUUCAAUCCCAAAUGGAAAGUCAGUUUACUGACGUUGUUCACCUUGCUACCACAAACCAUUUCAACUAAACCGGUGUGCACUUCACUUCACUUUGCAUUUUGGAGACGGUCCCUGGCUGGCUGUUAAAGGAUUUCUAAUUGAAUUAAAUAAAGAUCAGCAAUUGGAUUAAAAAGCUGCUUGUUACCAUGGCCACAAUCCUAAAGCAGGAGGUGAAAGGAAUCGACAGACAGGUGAAUGGAAUGAGAUAGAACAAGGAACGGGAUUACUCCUGGCAUAAGGCUGGA
Pristis pectinata (smalltooth sawfish) is the source of this 805-nucleotide long non-coding RNA. RefSeq lists it as uncharacterized. Lineage: Eukaryota; Metazoa; Chordata; Chondrichthyes; Rhinopristiformes; Pristidae. The record is from RefSeq and is a predicted model, not a curated record. The transcript is spliced from 3 exons.